GACGAACGCUGGCGGCGUGCUUAACACAUGCAAGUCGAGCGGAAUGGCCCUGCUUUUGUGGGGUGCUCGAGUGGCGAACGGGUGAGUAACACGUGAGUAACCUGCCCUUGACUUUGGGAUAACUUCAGGAAACUGGGGCUAAUACCGGAUAGGAGCUCCUGCUGCAUGGUGGGGUUUGGAAAGUUUCGGCGGUUGGGGAUGGACUCGCGGCUUAUCAGCUUGUUGGUGGGGUAGUGGCUUACCAAGGCUUUGACGGGUAGCCGGCCUGAGAGGGUGACCGGCCACAUUGGGACUGAGAUACGGCCCAGACUCCUACGGGAGGCAGCAGUGGGGAAUAUUGCACAAUGGGCGGAAGCCUGAUGCAGCAACGCCGCGUGCGGGAUGACGGCCUUCGGGUUGUAAACCGCUUUCGCCUGUGACGAAGCGUGAGUGACGGUAAUGGGUAAAGAAGCACCGGCUAACUACGUG
Molecule: ribosomal RNA, 468 nt
Filed under: uncultured bacterium
Lineage: Bacteria
Description: partial 16S ribosomal RNA
Rfam family: Bacterial small subunit ribosomal RNA
Source: RNAcentral